AGUGAACGCUGGCGGUAGGCCUAACACAUGCAAGUCGAACGGCAGCACAGUAAGAGCUUGCUCUUACGGGUGGCGAGUGGCGGACGGGUGAGGAAUACAUCGGAAUCUACUUUUUCGGGGGGGAUAACGUAGGGAAACUUACGCUAAUACCGCAUACGACCUACGGGUGAAAGCAGGGGAUCUUCGGACCUUGCGCGGUUGAAUGAGCCGCUGUCGGAUUAGCUAGUUGGCGGGGUAAAGGCCCACCAAGGCGACGAUCCGUAGCUGGUCUGAGAGGAUGAUCAGCCACACUGGAACUGAGACACGGUCCAGACUCCUACGGGAGGCAGCAGUGGGGAAUAUUGGACAAUGGGCGCAAGCCUGAUCCAGCCAUACCGCGUGGGUGAAGAAGGCCUUCGGGUUGUAAAGCCCUUUUGUUGGGAAAGAAAAGCAGCAGGUUAAUACCCCGCUGUUCUGACGGUACCCAAAGAAUAAGCACCGGCUAACUUCGUG
RNAcentral lists this ribosomal RNA (492 nucleotides) under uncultured bacterium. RNAcentral describes it as "partial 16S ribosomal RNA". It matches the Rfam family "Bacterial small subunit ribosomal RNA", at positions 29 to 507 of the family's 1533-position model. The record is from RNAcentral.